This 467-nucleotide ribosomal RNA is filed under the name uncultured bacterium. RNAcentral describes it as "partial 16S ribosomal RNA". It matches the Rfam family "Bacterial small subunit ribosomal RNA", at positions 28 to 507 of the family's 1533-position model. The record is from RNAcentral.
GACGAACGCUGGCGGCGUGCUUAACACAUGCAAGUCGAACGGAAAGGCCUCUUUCGGGGGGUACUCGAGUGGCGAACGGGUGAGUAACACGUGAGUAACCUGCCCUUGACUUUGGGAUAACUUCAGGAAACUGGGGCUAAUACCGGAUAGGAGCUCCUGCUGCAUGGUGGGGGUUGGAAAGUUUCGGCGGUUGGGGAUGGACUCGCGGCUUAUCCGCUUGUUGGUGGGGUAGUGGCUUACCAAGGCUUUGACGGGUAGCCGGCCUGAGGGGGUGACCGGCCACAUUGGGACUGAGAUACGGCCCAGACUCCUACGGGAGGCAGCAGUGGGGAAUAUUGCACAAUGGGUGGAAGCCUGAUGCAGCAACGCCGUGUGCGGGAUGACGGCCUUCGGGUUGUAAACCGCUUUCGCUCAUGACGAAGCUUUGUGUGACGGUAGUGGGUAAAGAAGCACCGGCUAACUACGUG